GCUCCUAAACCCAGCAUGCAGCCCACCAUGGGGCUUGAACUCAUGACUCCGAGAUCAAGACCUGAGCUAUGAUCAAGGGUCAGACACUUAACCACCUGAGCCAUCCAAAAAUGUGGUAGUCUUAUUUUUAACCAAUAUGAUGAUCACAGUUGUUUCUCCUUUUCCUCUGGUGAAUGAUGAGGGCAGUGGAGAUGGCAAACAUCUUAUGAAGCCAGGUAAACUUUGGAGGACGUUUGUAUUCACCAAAGCCAUAAAGCUGAGGCAGAAAUGGCCUCCCUGGAUUUUCCUCAUUGUUUUGGGAGCAGUGAAAGGAGAACACGGGCUGAAGGAAAUGCUCUCAUGCAGAAUUACAGAGAUCCUUGGUCCGAAGAGCUAUUGCAGCACCGGGGCGGACAGCAGAGAAGAUCCAGCUUUGAACGAACUGUCUGAUGUAGCAGAAAAGCAAAUGACUUGGCAGCAGUCACUUCAAUGACAGUCACUUUUACUGCCUUUUGUUUUGUCACUUUUUAUCUGAUGAACGAAGACCUUUAGUUUUAGAAAGGGUUGGUUUAGUAUGCAGUGUCUUACACAAUGCCUACCACACAUAUAGUAGGUAGCUAGUGAAUGAUUUUGUAUUUGUAUUCUUUUGAAAAGUCUUUUCUCGGUGUCUUUUUUUGGCUUUAACUUCAUUUUUUUUUUUCAAGUUAAAUCUAGUUUGACACAAUUUUAUAGACAACCAAGAUUCCUAAGCUACUCAUUAGUUGCACUUAGGUAUUUUCCAACUUUGCUUGUUGACAAGUUGUUGACAUUGGGACUAACUAUAGAAGUGAGCACAUCACCCAGAAAUUUAUUAAGAUGCUUAUUAUUCUUUUAUUUUUUUAAGGAUUUUAUUUACUUAUUUGACAGAGAGAGAUCACAAGUAGGCAGAGAGGCAGGCAGAGAGAGAGGAGGAAGCAGGCUCCCUGCCUAGCAGAGAGCCUGGGGAUGCGGGGCUCAAUCCCAGGACCUGGGAUCAUGACCUGAGCUGAAUGCAGAGGUUUAACCCACUGAGCCACCCAGGCGCCCCGAUGCUUAUUGUUCUUAUGGUUUCAUAUAAAGAAAUGAAACCAAACAAACUCCAAAACUCAUAGCCUGGCUUGUGUACAUCUCUGGAAUAAGAAAGUAUUUCUGUUAUUUAUUUCAAUUCUUAGAGUAAAACUGACUUUUUGAGAAUCUGUUUACUAUUCAUUUUGGAUAAGUUAUAAAAACUCAGAAUAUAAAUAUAUUUGACUUAAAAUUACUACCUACUAUCAAUUUCUCUCAUACAAGACAGUUUCAUUUGUAUUAAGUGCUUGAAAUUGAUAAUUAUAUACAUGGAUAUUUAAUUAAUUGAAAAACUGAUUAUUGAGGCUUUCCUAUUUAUUUUGAAAAACAAAUUUAUUCCAAGUAUUUAAAUGUGUUGAAACAUGAAUCUUCUCAGGCCGUUGCUAGAAUAUUACAGACAAAAUAAUACUGUUACUUGCUUGAAAAAUCUUGUUCUUGCUAUAAGAACAAUCAAACAGAAUUGCCAGAAGAAAUAAAAUAUUUAGAAUCAUCUUAUAUUGAAAUGUGUCUUCUACAGUUCCAACUAAUAUUAAAUUAUAAGUCACUAAGACUAUACUUAUCAUGGCAAGCAUUGAGUAGUGCAUAGAAUUUUAAAAUCAAUAUGCUGUAUACCUAAAACUAAUAUAACAUUGUAUGCCAAUUAUUCUUCCAUAAGAAAAGAAAUUAAAAAAUUAAAAAUCACCAAAUCCAAGUAUGUUUUUUAUUGUACUGUUUAAACUGCAGAUUUUAAAUUAUGAUAAGAAUUAUCAUAGAAGGAAAUAGAACUUUAUUUCUGAAAAUAUCAUAUAUAGUACUUUUUUUUUGGUGAGACAGCAGAGUCUCACAGCAGAGUGGAAAAUAUUUUCAAAAUUAAUACUUUCCCUUUAAAAAUAAUUUCUCAUCAUUAACUUUAAGAAUUUCUGUGUCUUAUUUUGUUCAUGUAUUAAAAUUGCUUGUCAUUCACUUUGUUGUAGAGAGAAAAGAUAAAAGGGCAAUUUUAAACAUGAUUG
This is a long non-coding RNA of Mustela putorius furo (domestic ferret), 2051 nucleotides long. The record is from Ensembl. NCBI's taxonomy places the organism in Eukaryota, Metazoa, Chordata, Mammalia, Carnivora, Mustelidae.